RNAcentral lists this long non-coding RNA (1814 nucleotides) under Homo sapiens (human). Its description in RNAcentral is "HSALNT0210408". Lineage: Eukaryota; Metazoa; Chordata; Mammalia; Primates; Hominidae. The record is from RNAcentral.
GGCAGCUUUGUUUACCUACUCACAGCUUGGCAAUGGCAGGCGCCCCUCCCCCAGCCUGGCUGCCGCCUUGCAGUUUGAUCUCAGACUGCCCUGCUAGCAAUCAGCGAGACUCCGUGGGCGUAGGACCCUCCGAGCCAGGUGCGGGAUAUAGUCUCCUGGUGCGCCGUUUCCUAAGCCCGUCGGAAAAGUGCAGUAUUAGGUUGGGAGUGACCAGAUUUUCCAGGUGCCGUCUGUCACCCCUUUCCUUGACCAGGAAAGGGAACUCCCUGACCCCUUGCACUUCCUGAGUGAGGCAAUGCCUCGCCCUGCUUGGGCUCAUGCACAGUGCGCGGCACCCACUGUCCUGCGCCCACUGUCUGGCACUCCCUAGUGAGAUGAACCUGGUACCUCAGAGGGAAAUGCAGAAAUCACCCAUCUUCUGUGUCACUCACGCUGGGAGCUGUAGACCGGAGCUGUUCCUAUUCGGCCAUCUUGGCUCCCUUAAACUGAUCCUCUUAAACACAGGAGCCAAGAAGAUUGAUACAUGACUGGAGCCUGAAUGGUAGAACUUUUUCAGAAGUGAGGAGUCUGUUGGCCCAGAAGAUCUGCGGUAAGAUCUGCCUCAACAUACCUUACUCAUUUUUUUCAAAGAGACUCUAGAGUCUAAAAUGAACAACCAAUCAAUUCUACAAACAUUGCAUCAUGAGGAGUUGCUGCACCUCUUCUCCAGGAUUUGCAAAACGUGUAGUCCAAAUCGAGUUCGGCUAGAACUGGUCUGUCAUCAAGAUAUGGCUCAUGAAAGAGAUUGGUGUUUAGGAGGCUGGGAAAAGGAAAUAUUUUGAGAGACUUCAUGUGCUCCGCACAUGGAGGUGGCUUCCUUUUGCCUCAGGUGAAGGGAGCUUCAACAAGAUCACUCAGAGUUUGAUCAAUGAUCUUAGAAUUUGCAGAACAUAGGGACUGCCAUUUGACUCACCCUUUAGAAGUCAGGAGGAAAGGUUACGUGGCUGGCACUUCUCAUGUCUGGGAAGGAACAACUGUGAAGUGCUGACCUAGACGAAUGUUGCACUUCCGCUGAUGAGUAGGCAAUGGCGAAUGUUUUCCAGGGUCCAAAUGUGGACCCGGCAACAGAGAGGCUGUCUGUAAUCACUUUAUAAGAGACACUAACAACAAUGACCACUGGGACUAAAGAGAGCACAACGGAAGUAGUUCUGCCAGAAGGGCUGAGGAGAGGGCUGAGCAACCACCCUCAGGGGAGGCAGACCCACAUCAAAGACAUCUCAGCAGUCCCUUUCCCAUGAAAGAAAGAGCUAGAAAUUGUCCAUUUGACACACACACAAACCAGAUCCCAGAUUGCAAUUGAUUCAGAUAAUGAAAAGCUUGUUCUUUUCACUUGCUGUUCUAGCCUAACCAUGUAGGUGUCAGAAGCAGUUGUAGGCUAGGAGAGAAGUCGGAGCAAUACAGAAGCCAGUUCUGCCUUUGCCUCAAGAUCCACUGUCCACUCAGAGGCAGGCUGGCACAUGGGGGAUGAGAACAUUCCAAGAAAGAUGUGAAUCUGGAAUUUUCAUUUAUGCAGUAGAUGGGGAUUUACUACUGAAAGGAACAUGUUUUGGCAACUAAUAGUGACCAAAAGAAUUUGUACUUACUAAAAAUUAUCUUAAAAGCAUGGGAUUACCCUAGCAUUUUGUUUCAGAAACUGAAAUUAACAGAAAACUAUAAAAUUACUUUCUGCCUGAAACCUAAGAAGGUGAACUCAUGCCAGAAACCAGUUACAUUCACAAUUACCUGGAUUUUGUUAUUUCCUACAAUGAAUAAAACUUAUUAUAAAGCAGAAAAGC